UGGGGAAUAUUGGACAAUGGGCGAAAGCCUGAUCCAGCCAUGCCGCGUGUGUGAAGAAGGUCUUCGGAUUGUAAAGCACUUUAAGUUGGGAGGAAGGGCAGUAAGCGAAUACCUUGCUGUUUUGACGUUACCGACAGAAUAAGCACCGGCUAACUCUGUGCCAGCAGCCGCGGUAAUACAGAGGGUGCAAGCGUCAAUCGGAAUUACUGGGCGUAAAGCGCGCGUAGGUGGUUCGUUAAGUUGAAUGUGAAAGCCCCGGGCUCAACCUGGGAACUGCAUCCAAAACUGGCGAGCUAGAGUAGGGCAGAGGGUGGUGGAAUUUCCUGUGUAGCGGAGAAAUGCGUAGAUAUAGGAAGGAACACCAGUGGCGAAGGCGACCACCUGGGCUCAUACUGACACUGAGGUGCGAAAGCGUGGGGAGCAAACAGG
Molecule: ribosomal RNA, 429 nt
Filed under: Pseudomonadota bacterium
Lineage: Bacteria; Pseudomonadati; Pseudomonadota
Description: Proteobacteria bacterium partial 16S ribosomal RNA
Rfam family: Bacterial small subunit ribosomal RNA
Source: RNAcentral